This 1030-nucleotide long non-coding RNA is filed under the name Gallus gallus (chicken). Its description in RNAcentral is "lncRNA (ENSGALG00010007352.1)". Lineage: Eukaryota; Metazoa; Chordata; Aves; Galliformes; Phasianidae. The record is from RNAcentral.
AAUUAUUCUUGUGAAUAAGAAGAGACAUCAGUAGAGGUAUUAGAAUGAAAUUAUUAAUAAGGUGUCUAAUAAGGAGAAGGAAAUUACUAAUAAGAAAAUUAUUAGUAGGCAGUUAGAUAUUUGUCCUUGGAGAAGAUUAUGAAAAAAGUUGAAUGGGGGAAAGGUCCGGGUUAAUAAUGACCACCCAUUUCUUUAUUAGUGAUCAGUUGUACAGGAGACAUAUAAUACUCUGGCUACAUAUCUGAGUCUAUAUUUAAGGAUUAGUACUGUGUCCUUCCUUUGGAUAUGAGCCCUUAGCUUAUUUUUCUGUUGCUCAAGUUUUAUUUCCCCUUGAUAACUGUGCUCAGGGCCAUGCCCAGUCAACUUCUAAGUAACUCCAAGGACAGAAAAUCCAGAGCAACCCAAGGAAAUCUGUGACAGUGCUUGACCAACUCCAUUGCAGAGAUUGUUUUUCCUUGUACCUAACUGGAAUUUCUCUUGUCAUAACCUGAUUUUAUUUUCUCUUCUUCUUCAUGUUGAGUGGCCUUGUCCAUUGGAGACAGCAAUAAAUCUGUCUUGAGCCUUCUUUAGGCUGAACAAAUCCAUUUCUUUCAUCCUCUUUUAUAAUAAUCUCCAGUACCUUGAUCACCUUUAUGAUCUCUGUGGGACUUACUCCAGUAUAUCUGUGUUCUUCUUGUGAUGAAAAGCUCAAAACUGAACCCAUUGUCUCAGGUAUGGUCUCACAGGCACCAAACUGAGAGGAAUAUUAACUCAUUAGUAAUUCUGAUCUGUUAUUCCUCUGCUGUCGGCUAUCCAUCUACUUUUCAAAAGAAGCCAGUACACACAAGAUCUGGGAGCAUGCCUCAUCUGUGAAGUCUUAGGAAAAAAAAGAUGUCAAAUAAAUAUCUCACUCAUUACAAUAUCAUCCUUUAUUACCUUGUUUUUCACUUUUCUAUUUUUAUGACUUUCAUAAGAUUUUCUGCUUUUUGAUUUGUUUUGUUUGUUUUUUGUUUUAUUAUAGGAGAAAACUUCAUGCUUAACUAAGGUAUCC